Molecule: ribosomal RNA, 2795 nt
Filed under: Salmonella enterica subsp. enterica serovar Choleraesuis
Lineage: Bacteria; Pseudomonadati; Pseudomonadota; Gammaproteobacteria; Enterobacterales; Enterobacteriaceae
Description: partial 23S ribosomal RNA
Rfam family: Bacterial large subunit ribosomal RNA
Source: RNAcentral
AACCCAGUGUGACUCGUCACACUAUCAUUAACUGAAUCCAUAGGUUAAUGAGGCGAACCGGGGGAACUGAAACAUCUAAGUACCCCGAGGAAAAGAAAUCAACCGAGAUUCCCCCAGUAGCGGCGAGCGAACGGGGAGGAGCCCAGAGCCUGAAUCAGCAUGUGUGUUAGUGGAAGCGUCUGGAAAGGCGCGCGAUACAGGGUGACAGCCCCGUACACAAAAGCGCAUGUGCUGUGAGCUCGAUGAGUAGGGCGGGACACGUGGUAUCCUGUCUGAAUAUGGGGGGACCAUCCUCCAAGGCUAAAUACUCCUGACUGACCGAUAGUGAACCAGUACCGUGAGGGAAAGGCGAAAAGAACCCCGGCGAGGGGAGUGAAAAAGAACCUGAAACCGUGUACGUACAAGCAGUGGGAGCACAGGUUUACCUGUGUGACUGCGUACCUUUUGUAUAAUGGGUCAGCGACUUAUAUUCUGUAGCAAGGUUAACCGUAUAGGGGAGCCGUAGGGAAACCGAGUCUUAACCGGGCGUUAAGUUGCAGGGUAUAGACCCGAAACCCGGUGAUCUAGCCAUGGGCAGGUUGAAGGUUGGGUAACACUAACUGGAGGACCGAACCGACUAAUGUUGAAAAAUUAGCGGAUGACCUGUGGCUGGGGGUGAAAGGCCAAUCAAACCGGGAGAUAGCUGGUUCUCCCCGAAAGCUAUUUAGGUAGCGCCUCGUGAAUUCAUCUCCGGGGGUAGAGCACUGUUUCGGCUAGGGGGCCAUCCCGGCUUACCAACCCGAUGCAAACUGCGAAUACCGGAGAAUGUUAUCACGGGAGACACACGGCGGGUGCUAACGUCCGUCGUGAAGAGGGAAACAACCCAGACCGCCAGCUAAGGUCCCAAAGUCAUGGUUAAGUGGGAAACGAUGUGGGAAGGCCCAGACAGCCAGGAUGUUGGCUUAGAAGCAGCCAUCAUUUAAAGAAAGCGUAAUAGCUCACUGGUCGAGUCGGCCUGCGCGGAAGAUGUAACGGGGCUAAACCAUGCACCGAAGCUGCGGCAGCGACGCUGAUGCGUUGUUGGGUAGGGGAGCGUUCUGUAAGCCUGUGAAGGUGGCCUGUGAGGGUUGCUGGAGGUAUCAGAAGUGCGAAUGCUGACAUAAGUAACGAUAAAGCGGGUGAAAAGCCCGCUCGCCGGAAGACCAAGGGUUCCUGUCCAACGUUAAUCGGGGCAGGGUGAGUCGACCCCUAAGGCGAGGCCGAAAGGCGUAGUCGAUGGGAAACGGGUUAAUAUUCCCGUACUUGGUGUUACUGCGAAGGGGGGACGGAGAAGGCUAUGUUGGCCGGGCGACGGUUGUCCCGGUUUAAGCGUGUAGGUGUGUGUUCCAGGUAAAUCCGGUUCACUUUAACACUGAGGCGUGAUGACGAGGCACUACGGUGCUGAAGCAACAAAUGCCCUGCUUCCAGGAAAAGCCUCUAAGCAUCAGGUAACAUCAAAUCGUACCCCAAACCGACACAGGUGGUCAGGUAGAGAAUACCAAGGCGCUUGAGAGAACUCGGGUGAAGGAACUAGGCAAAAUGGUGCCGUAACUUCGGGAGAAGGCACGCUGACACGUAGGUGAAGUGAUUUACUCAUGGAGCUGAAGUCAGUCGAAGAUACCAGCUGGCUGCAACUGUUUAUUAAAAACACAGCACUGUGCAAACACGAAAGUGGACGUAUACGGUGUGACGCCUGCCCGGUGCCGGAAGGUUAAUUGAUGGGGUCAGCGCAAGCGAAGCUCCUGAUCGAAGCCCCGGUAAACGGCGGCCGUAACUAUAACGGUCCUAAGGUAGCGAAAUUCCUUGUCGGGUAAGUUCCGACCUGCACGAAUGGCGUAAUGAUGGCCAGGCUGUCUCCACCCGAGACUCAGUGAAAUUGAACUCGCUGUGAAGAUGCAGUGUACCCGCGGCAAGACGGAAAGACCCCGUGAACCUUUACUAUAGCUUGACACUGAACAUUGAGCCUUGAUGUGUAGGAUAGGUGGGAGGCUUUGAAGCGUGGACGCCAGUCUGCAUGGAGCCGGCCUUGAAAUACCACCCUUUAAUGUUUGAUGUUCUAACGUGGACCCGUGAUCCGGGUUGCGGACAGUGUCUGGUGGGUAGUUUGACUGGGGCGGUCUCCUCCUAAAGAGUAACGGAGGAGCACGAAGGUUGGCUAAUCCUGGUCGGACAUCAGGAGGUUAGUGCAAUGGCAUAAGCCAGCUUGACUGCGAGCGUGACGGCGCGAGCAGGUGCGAAAGCAGGUCAUAGUGAUCCGGUGGUUCUGAAUGGAAGGGCCAUCGCUCAACGGAUAAAAGGUACUCCGGGGAUAACAGGCUGAUACCGCCCAAGAGUUCAUAUCGACGGCGGUGUUUGGCACCUCGAUGUCGGCUCAUCACAUCCUGGGGCUGAAGUAGGUCCCAAGGGUAUGGCUGUUCGCCAUUUAAAGUGGUACGCGAGCUGGGUUUAGAACGUCGUGAGACAGUUCGGUCCCUAUCUGCCGUGGGCGCUGGAGAACUGAGGGGGGCUGCUCCUAGUACGAGAGGACCGGAGUGGACGCAUCACUGGUGUUCGGGUUGUCAUGCCAAUGGCACUGCCCGGUAGCUAAAUGCGGAAGAGAUAAGUGCUGAAAGCAUCUAAGCACGAAACUUGCCCCGAGAUGAGUUCUCCCUGAGACUUAGAGUCUCCUGAAGGAACGUUGAAGACGACGACGUUGAUAGGCCGGGUGUGUAAGCGCAGCGAUGCGUUGAGCUAACCGGUACUAAUGAACCGUGAGGCUUAACCUUACAACGCCGAAG